AUGUGGAACCUCCUCAAUCAACAACUUGUUAAGCUCUCACCAUCAUCAUCACUGAAUGGAGGACCAAGUACAGGCGGGAAAUCAACACACAGGACAGCAUUGCCAAGUCAAAAGCAGUGGAUCCACUUCUCAACUUUGAACCCACUGAUGAUUUUAAAUCUCAGGCUGGACGGAUUCAGCUCACUCACCCAGAUAAAUGCCGUCCAUAUGAGCACAUUUCUUCUUGGUUAUGUUGAAGUCUACAUAGAACAGAGCCACCGGGUGUCCGAAGCUCUCGCCGGGACUGGGGUCCAGCAGCAGCACGGCGUCGUGCGUGCUCGCGCCCGGGUACAGCUCUUCGUUCGUCCUGCUGUCAUCAUCCGCGCUCGCGUCCACAGUGAAGCCGCUCUGCUUGGACUGCAGCGCACCGCUCGAGUAUGAGUCCGGCAGGAUCGUCAGCACUUUCCCCGAGCCGGACUCGGUCACGUACACGACCACCCCGCUCAGGUGCAGUUGGGACAGCUUCUUGCACUCGCUCUCCGGUAAGGAGACCCUCCGGCACAGGUUGAGCUGCAGGUACUGAAGUCCAGUUCGGACCCAGCGGUCCAGACGAGACCCGCAGCACUCGCCAACGAGUAAAGCACAAAUGAGAAGAGAAACGCACUGGAGCUUCAUGCUUUGGCUGUAUUUUCGGAAAAGUUACUUUUAAAACAGCUUUGUUCCGCUGGAGGUGUGUGUUGGACAGUCGCGGGUCUUGUGAAGUUUGGAGAGAUGCGACUGUCUUCAUUAAAGGUGCUCAGAGCAGCAUCCAGAUGGAAAGUUAAUGUGCUGUAACUCCAUCCCACAGGCUCUGACAUGCUGCUGAACAGAUGAAGGAGGGAGGAGGGAGAGAGAGGGAGGGUGGAGCUGCCUUUCAGGUAAUUCAUUCCCAUUAACAAAAAGAUUCUUUGACUUUUCCUAAAAUUAUGAUAUAGCCUACUCUAAAUGAAAACAACUUGUAGUAGGCUAUGUUUGAAAGUCAGUAGCUGUAAACUGCUGCCAGAUCAUUUGCAUCUGUCUGGAUCUGAAUACAAUUUUUUUUUUUUUUUUUUUUGUCUGGGGCAAAGUGCCUCCAAAGCACAACACAAUGUUGCAGGGCAUUCUGUAGUUUUAUAAAGUGAUUUAAUCAUUUUAAAUAUUUCAUCAACUCUUUAUCGUUUUUAACAUUAUCAUAAAUAACGUGGUAAUAAUUUGCAUUUAUUAAACUUAUGAAUUGCGUUUACUGUGUAAUAAAUAAUAAAUGAAUUUAGAACAUGUCAAAUGUCUUAAAGAAAAAGUGUAGGCAGUUUACUUGAAUUUGAUAUUACAAGCCUUGUGCACAAGGUUAUGAAAUUAUAAGUGUUUCUUAGAAAAUUAAAGUUUUCUAGAGAAUUUGGUAUUUCUAUAUACACAUUUCAUUUAUCAGCUUAACAUAGAUAUAAUUUAACAUUAUUUAUGACUGUUUGUAAGUUAAUGAUAAUGGUAUAAAAACUUCCUAAAAGGAUGAUGAUGAUGACCAUAAGAAAAAGUAUUUGAUGGAAUACUUAAAUACCUUAGCAAGAAAAUAUAUGAUGGUAACAGAGAGGAAG
Long non-coding RNA from Cyprinus carpio carpio, 1586 nucleotides. NCBI's taxonomy places the organism in Eukaryota, Metazoa, Chordata, Actinopteri, Cypriniformes, Cyprinidae. The record is from Ensembl.